This is a ribosomal RNA of Cavia aperea (Brazilian guinea pig), 119 nucleotides long. The record is from Ensembl. NCBI's taxonomy places the organism in Eukaryota, Metazoa, Chordata, Mammalia, Rodentia, Caviidae.
GUCUAUGGCCAUACCACCCUGAACGCACCCAAUCUCGUCUGAUCUCAGAAGCUAAGCAGGGUUGGGCCUGGUUAGUACUUGGAUGGGCAAACUCAGAAAUAACCCUGCAACCAUCUAUU